UUCUGUUCUUCCAUUCAGUUCGUCAGUCAGUUGAUGUGGCCAUUUACCCGACUUGGUGAAUCAUUUCAGUGGUCCAAAUCCUUUUCUUUUGAUCCAACUUCCUCCAAAUUGUGUUCUACAGCAUCCAAGGAUUCCAUUUUGCCCAUAAUCACUUAUACCCUUUGCACUCCAUUUUUCUGAAUUCAGCUCCAAAGAUAGCUAGUUGUCACGGUUUCAAACUUAGGCAUAAUUUUCAGUUCAGCAGUCAAGCUGACUGUGGUAAAGUGCUAACUUUGAGCUUCCAUUUGAAAUGGUUCCCUCUACUGUUCCUGAUCAACAACACCUGAAGAUACUUGUCCA
This 339-nucleotide long non-coding RNA is filed under the name Setaria viridis. RNAcentral describes it as "long non-coding RNA (SVIR_LNC007981)". The record is from RNAcentral. Lineage: Eukaryota; Viridiplantae; Streptophyta; Magnoliopsida; Poales; Poaceae.